Molecule: transfer RNA, 84 nt
Filed under: Bacteroidales bacterium
Lineage: Bacteria; Pseudomonadati; Bacteroidota; Bacteroidia; Bacteroidales
Description: tRNA-Leu
Rfam family: tRNA
About the family: Transfer RNA (tRNA) molecules are approximately 80 nucleotides in length. Their secondary structure includes four short double-helical elements and three loops (D, anti-codon, and T loops).
Source: RNAcentral
GCCCAGGUGGCGAAAUUGGUAGACGCGCCAGCUUGAGGGGCUGGUGACCUUAUGGUUGUUCGGGUUCGAGUCCCGAUCUGGGCA